RNAcentral lists this ribosomal RNA (497 nucleotides) under uncultured bacterium. Its description in RNAcentral is "partial 16S ribosomal RNA". It matches the Rfam family "Bacterial small subunit ribosomal RNA", at positions 38 to 507 of the family's 1533-position model. The record is from RNAcentral.
GGGGGGGGGGGGGGGGGGGGCUGGGGGAUGGGGGGCGGGCGGGCGGGCGGGGAGCUGGCUCCGCUGACGGUGGCGGCGGGCGGGUGGGUGGCACUUGGAUAGCCUCCCUCUCAGGCUGUGAUACCUUCGGGACACCGGGGCUACUCCCGGAUCCCAUGUUUCACCGCAUGGUUUCCCAGUGAAAGGCGGUCUUGCUGUCCCUUCUAGCUGCAUCCGCGCCUCAUUAGCUAGUUGGUAAGGUCCCGGCUUACCAAGGCAACGCUGCGUACCCGACCUGGGAGGGUGAUCGGCCACACUGGAACUGAGACACGGUCCAGACGCCUACGGGAGGCAGCAGUAGGGAAUCUUCCGCAAUGGGCGAAAGUCUGACGGAGCAACGCAGAGUGAGUGAAGAAGGUCUUCGGAUCGUAAAACUCUGUGAGUAGGGAAGAACAAAUGGGUAAGUAACUAUGCAAGUAUUGACGGUACCUAAUCAGAAAGCCACGGCUAACUACGUG